UGAGUGUUAUGAUGAUGGAGCCGUGUGGCUCUUAGUCUAGCUCUGGUCUACCGCUAGGAUUUAUAU
RNAcentral lists this non-coding RNA (66 nucleotides) under Streptococcus timonensis. RNAcentral describes it as "L17 ribosomal protein downstream element". It matches the Rfam family "L17 ribosomal protein downstream element", at positions 1 to 70 of the family's 78-position model. Lineage: Bacteria; Bacillati; Bacillota; Bacilli; Lactobacillales; Streptococcaceae. The record is from RNAcentral.